RNAcentral lists this ribosomal RNA (1566 nucleotides) under Enterococcus faecium. RNAcentral describes it as "partial 23S ribosomal RNA". It matches the Rfam family "Bacterial large subunit ribosomal RNA", at positions 1 to 1559 of the family's 2925-position model. The record is from RNAcentral. Lineage: Bacteria; Bacillati; Bacillota; Bacilli; Lactobacillales; Enterococcaceae. RNAcentral also lists the same sequence under 1 other name.
GUUGAUAAGGUUAAGUGAAUAAGGGCGCACGGUGGAUGCCUUGGCACUAGGAGCCGAUGAAGGACGGGACUAACACCGAUAUGCUUUGGGGAGCUGUACGUAAGCUAUGAUCCAGAGAUUUCCGAAUGGGGGAACCCAGCAUCUUUAAUAGGAUGUUACGAUUGUGUGAAUACAUAGCACAUUCGAGGUAGACGCAGAGAACUGAAACAUCUAAGUACCUGCAGGAAGAGAAAGAAAAUUCGAUUCCCUGAGUAGCGGCGAGCGAAACGGGAAAAGCCCAAACCAACAAGCUUGCUUGUUGGGGUUGUAGGACUCCAAUAUGGUCGUUCUUUCAGAUAGUCGAAUGACUUGGAAAAGUCAGUCAAAGAGGGUAAAAACCCCGUAGACGAAAUGUGGAAGACACCUAGGAGGAUCCUGAGUACGGCGGAACACGAGAAAUUCCGUCGGAAUCCGGGAGGACCAUCUCCCAAGGCUAAAUACUCCCUAGUGACCGAUAGUGAACCAGUACCGUGAGGGAAAGGUGAAAAGCACCCCGGAAGGGGAGUGAAAUAGAACCUGAAACCGUGUGCCUACAACAAGUCAAAGCCCGUUAAUGGGUGAUGGCGUGCCUUUUGUAGAAUGAACCGGCGAGUUACGAUUGCAUGCGAGGUUAAGUUGAAGAGACGGAGCCGCAGCGAAAGCGAGUCUGAAUAGGGCGUUUGAGUAUGUAGUCGUAGACCCGAAACCAUGUGAUCUACCCAUGUCCAGGUUGAAGGUGCGGUAAAACGCACUGGAGGACCGAACCCACGUACGUUGAAAAGUGCGGGGAUGAGGUGUGGGUAGCGGAGAAAUUCCAAACGAACUUGGAGAUAGCUGGUUCUCUCCGAAAUAGCUUUAGGGCUAGCCUCGGAAUUGAGAAUGAUGGAGGUAGAGCACUGUUUGGACUAGGGGCCCAUCUCGGGUUACCGAAUUCAGAUAAACUCCGAAUGCCAUUCAUUCAUAUCCGGGAGUCAGACUGUGAGUGAUAAGAUCCAUAGUCGAAAGGGAAACAGCCCAGACCACCAGCUAAGGUCCCAAAAUAUAUGUUAAGUGGAAAAGGAUGUGGGGUUGCACAGACAACUAGGAUGUUGGCUUAGAAGCAGCCACCAUUUAAAGAGUGCGUAAUAGCUCACUAGUCGAGUGACCCUGCGCCGAAAAUGUACCGGGGCUAAACAUAUUACCGAAGCUGUGGAGUACACCUUUAGGUGUAUUGGUAGGAGAGCGUUCUAAGGGCGUCGAAGGCAGAUCGUGAGGACUGCUGGAGCGCUUAGAAGUGAGAAUGCCGGUAUGAGUAGCGAAAGACAGGUGAGAAUCCUGUCCACCGAAUGACUAAGGUUUCCUGGGGAAGGCUCGUCCGCCCAGGGUUAGUCGGGACCUAAGCCGAGGCCGAUAGGCGUAGGCGAUGGAUAACAGGUUGAUAUUCCUGUACCCGUUGUUUUUGUUUGAGCAAUGGAGGGACGCAGGAGGCUAAGGAAUGCAGACGAUCGGAAAUGUCUGUCCAAGCAGUAAGUCUGAAGAGGAGUCAAAUGCUUCUUUUCUUAAGGACAA